This is a long non-coding RNA of Anolis carolinensis (green anole), 993 nucleotides long. RefSeq annotates it as RNA polymerase II, I and III subunit L. NCBI's taxonomy places the organism in Eukaryota, Metazoa, Chordata, Lepidosauria, Squamata, Anolidae. The record is from RefSeq and is a predicted model, not a curated record. The transcript has 3 exons.
GAGAGGGGGCGUGGCCGCGGCAUUGUUCGGAAGCCUCGAGCUCGGUGCGCGCAGGAGAGAGUUCCACAUCGAGGACGGUGCCUUGUUGCUAGUAGAGACCAGGCAACGGUUGUUUACCCCGCUUUCCUACAGCGUUUCCCUUCUAGAGGCACUCGGGUGUAAAAUGAUUAUUCCUGUGAGAUGCUUCACUUGUGGCAAAAUAGUUGGAAACAAAUGGGAAGCAUAUCUUGGCCUUCUGCAAGCAGAAUAUACAGAAGGUGAUGCUUUGGAUGCUCUGGGUCUGAAGAGAUAUUGCUGCCGGCGAAUGCUGCUUGCCCACGUUGAUCUGAUUGAGAAACUCCUGAAUUAUGCCCCACUGGAGAAAUAAAUGGCAGGAGAAAUGUGUGCACAAGACACGUACACAUACUCACACAUGGACCCAGAGUAUUGCUGGAAAUCCUCAAGCCGAACUUCUGGGGUUGCAAAUGCAGAUUGUUCUCAGUCAGGGAUUUUACUUUCUGGGCACACUGCUGCUCCAGCCACUAACCUCUUCAAAGGAAAUUACUGAAAGCUGAAAUCCAUUUACACACAGUUGGGGACUGUAGUUUUAAUUAAAAGAGGGAUGGAAGUUCAUCAGAAUCCCAUGGAUUUUGAGACUGGUGAAUUUUUUAAAAUUGUACUUUUGAGUUACUGGCAGUCGUUUUAAUAACACUUUAGAAUAUAGUCUGCUCAUGAUGUUGUGAUGAUUGUCCUCCCUUCCACUCCUUGUCAUCUUUUCCUUGUGUUACGCCACAUCUUAUUUGAGAAAGUGGAGAAAGUUAGCUGCAUACUAACCUCUGAAUUUCAGGGUUUUGCUCCUGGCAUCUGUCAAUGUUAUGGAGAAUGAGAACCUCCUCUGCAGUAUUGUUCCAGCCUGUUGUAUGAUAUGACAUUAUCUAAAAAAACUGGAGAUUCAGCUGUGUCAAGUGCCAUGGGUUGUGAUGUGAAAAACUAAUAAUAAAAAUGGAAGAUGGA